CUUGCUUCGCGCGCGAGUUUCCCGAUAGGGUUUUUUUUUUGCGGAGUUUGUGUCUUUUUAGCUUUCGGUUCGAUGUUUUUGUUCGAUUAAUCGUUUUGUAGGGAUAAAAAAAAGCCUCAUAACAAUAGGAACGGGAAAAAAAAUUGCUAACCGAAAUGAAUCCACCCAAAAAAUUAAAAACCUACGCGCGAGUUUGACUCGAAAGUAUGGGGUGUGACAACUUUCUUUAUUGACACGACAGCAAUGUUGGGUCAUGUAUGUUGACAUAUUGAUUCUUGAAUGUGGAGGGAACCCUUACGAUGCAGUGUCAUUGGCUGAGAAAUCGGCUCUUUUUUUGCAACACAAAUUCCAUCUAUUAAAAUAGCAACCAUGGACGGAUAUCAACCUGAUGUGGAGCUCUCAGAUGAUCUUUAUGAUACCAAGAGACUAAACACAGAGAACAUUCCUUGUGUACUGACUUUGAUGCAGAUUGGAAACCAUUUAGUAGUUCCAACCCCAAAAGAAAAAUGCUGCAGCUUUUCUGGUAUUAAAAUGAUUACUGCUGUUAGGGAAAUUGACAGUUGUAAGACAUAAGCUAUGAUAUUCUUAAAGAUGGAACUUUUAGAGAAAUAACAUUUAAGCGAUGAUAUAAAUCUUCCAAGAGUUCACCUUUACUUAUCUCUUCGUAACCUAGGUUGACUAUAUAAUUUCUUUAUCAUCGCCCCUUGUCUGAAUUAAAGUGCUUUUGGUAUGAAAAAGAAACGGCAAAUAAAGCGGCAAUUCAAGCAUUUAUUGUAAAUAGGACAGGAGAUUUUUCUUUUAUAAUUGUGGGCUACAUAAGUUCAUGAAUAGGUCAAAGCCGAUACUUACUGAUUCGGGUGGUUAUCAAGUCAUACUCGACGUAUGACGUCAUGACGUAACAUCGAAAUUACGUAAAAUUACAGAAGUCUUGUUGCUUUUUUCAGUUAAUUUCGAACCAUUAUUUAUAGUAUUUAAAUUUAUAUAAAUAACAUAUAAGGUUAAUAACCACCCUAAACAAGAUAAGAUUUUUGAUAGAUUAAUUGAACGUUUAUAGGAUGAAAUUACGGCUCUAUUUCUCUUAUCUAUGAAGGGAAUUUUGACUAAAAUUUUCGACCGCACA
This is a long non-coding RNA of Daphnia pulex (common water flea), 1120 nucleotides long. RefSeq lists it as uncharacterized. Lineage: Eukaryota; Metazoa; Arthropoda; Branchiopoda; Diplostraca; Daphniidae. The transcript is spliced from 3 exons. The record is from RefSeq and is a predicted model, not a curated record.